Long non-coding RNA from Camelina sativa (false flax), 726 nucleotides. RefSeq lists it as uncharacterized. NCBI's taxonomy places the organism in Eukaryota, Viridiplantae, Streptophyta, Magnoliopsida, Brassicales, Brassicaceae. The record is from RefSeq and is a predicted model, not a curated record.
GAUUAUGAUUACAGUAAAUCAAAUUACAUAUUACUACCUUAAUGGGUUUCAAUUCUGAUUAAUAUUGUUUUCAUUCUGAGUAAUUCUUAGAAUUCGUUUUCAUAAAUUUUUUCAAGUCGAUCGAUAUAUUUCCUCCAGCAAUGCCUGUAAAUUAUAUAUGAAUUGAAGCUUCAAUUUUUAACUGUUUCUUUGGUUCAUUUUCUCAUUAUUGUUUACAAAUGGCAUCAAGCAAUUCAAGACUGGCUUUCGGAUUCAAGUCAAAAUCGUCCAAUCUUUGAGACAGUACACUUCUUGCUCAGUAAAUAUGCGAAUGAGAUCUAACCAAAGAGACGGACAAACAGAGAAACAUCAUGUACGCUGGAUUAAACUGCACUUUCAUGGAAUCUUCUUACUCAGAUUGGAGAUGAAGUUAUCAACAAUAAUUUAACAUGCAAAGGCAAGAGCAAUUGGAAACUGCCUCCGACGCAUCUUGAAUGGAAGUUUUGUGUCAGAAGGCUUGCGCUUUAACGGAUUUCGUUAUUCGGGAUUACAUUCGGAUUUGGUUCGAGCAAUUGGAGGGAGAGCUGACAGCUAGGAUUUAUUGUAGUUGUCUCAUUUGGAUCACCCAAGUAUAGUUAUCGGAUUUAUUUUAACCCGAAUCCGAAAUAGUUAAUUUCGGGUUAAUUUUAGUUUUAACCCGACCCGGAAGUAAUUUUGUACUCCUCUUUUACUAAUAUAGAGAUUACA